Molecule: non-coding RNA, 98 nt
Organism: Acanthosepion pharaonis
Lineage: Eukaryota; Metazoa; Mollusca; Cephalopoda; Sepiida; Sepiidae
Source: the annotation of a GenBank genome assembly
GUUGAAGCACGGGUUCACGUACAAUCACCGAAGUUAAGCAAUGUUGAUCCUGGUCACUACCUGGAUGGGUGAUCGCUUGAAAAUACCGGGUACUGUAA